AUUGAACGCUGGCGGCAGGCUUAACACAUGCAAGUCGAGCGGAGCGAGGGUGCUUGCACCUUAGCUUAGCGGCGGACGGGUGAGUAAUGCUUAGGAAUCUGCCUAUUAGUGGGGGACAACAUUCCGAAAGGAAUGCUAAUACCGCAUACGCCCUACGAGGGAAAGCAGGGGAUCUUCGGACCUUGCGCUAAUAGAUGAGCCUAAGUCGGAUUAGCUAGUUGGUGGGGUAAAGGCCUACCAAGGCGACGAUCUGUAGCGGGUCUGAGAGGAUGAUCCGCCACACUGGGACUGAGACACGGCCCAGACUCCUACGGGAGGCAGCAGUGGGGAAUAUUGGACAAUGGGCGGAAGCCUGAUCCAGCCAUGCCGCGUGUGUGAAGAAGGCCUUUUGGUUGUAAAGCACUUUAAGCGAGGAGGAGGCUACUUAGAUUAAUACUCUGGGAUAGUGGACGUUACUCGCAGAAUAAGCACCGGCUAACUCUGUGCCAGCAGCCGCGGUAA
This 501-nucleotide ribosomal RNA is filed under the name uncultured bacterium. RNAcentral's name for it is "partial 16S ribosomal RNA". It matches the Rfam family "Bacterial small subunit ribosomal RNA", at positions 30 to 523 of the family's 1533-position model. The record is from RNAcentral.